This is a long non-coding RNA of Crotalus tigris (Tiger rattlesnake), 3889 nucleotides long. RefSeq lists it as uncharacterized. Lineage: Eukaryota; Metazoa; Chordata; Lepidosauria; Squamata; Viperidae. The transcript has 4 exons. The record is from RefSeq and is a predicted model, not a curated record.
UCCGAGUGCUGCCUCUGGCACCCAUGCCAUAGGUUCGCCACCACUGCUAUAAACCAUAGCUGUAUGAAAGGAACCAUAACAACUUGUUGACUACAGGUUUUAUUCAAAGGCAUUGAGAUUUGAUUAUGUUUUGUUUUUAAAGGAAAGUGCAUAAUGUGGGGCAACUGUUUGGAAGUACAGCUGCAAAUUCAAGACCUGUGUGCCAUCACCUAUUCAACACUAUGAUAAAAUAUGAAGCAGAUUUCUAAGUCUGUUUAGCCUGAUAAAUACACAAAUCAAAACAUCAAGGCAAAAUAAAUUAGUGAAAGGGUAUUUUGUUGACAUACUGUCCAUAUUUAUAUGUUUCUCACUAAUUUCAGGUUAGCAUUUGCCAAACCUGCCCAAAAUAUUAAUUGUGCUUGCUUGGAAGUUUUCUGGAAACUGAUUUUUUAAACUGAACGUGCUUGAAGCAUGAUUUAGAGCCACAGAGCCUUUAAUCUUAAGGGGGUAGGGGAGGUGAGGGUAGAAAAGUGAAAAAGCUAAUUUGUCUUUCCAAGGCUCUUAGAGAGUAGCCUUGCCAAGUGGCCAUCCUCUGCUUUGGCACUAAUCCAUUCUGUCUCCAGCUGGGCAUAUCAGUGAUGGUUUCCGUUUAUUUGUAUUUUGUAUGCAAUUCCAGUUAUUCACAUGGGGGAAAGAUGGGUUGCUAGUGCAGUUUGACAAAGUUGCAAAGAAUUUCAAUGGGUUCAGUUUUGAUGUUGGUAUGCCCAUAUAUAGGGAACUAUGAUAAGCUGUAAAACGGCAAAGUGUAACAAGAAACAUUCCGUUAAUAUCUCUGAAGGUUACUUAAGCACAAAGCAAAAGCCACAUAUUGCAAAAUGUUUCUUUUAUCCGCCUUUUUACAGAGAACUCAAAGCAGCUUAACACUCAGUUCCCAGGCAACUUAUGGGCAGACUGGCUCCAAGAAUUUUAUUGCCAAGGCCGAAGGAACAAAACCAGCCUACAGCUAACUCUUACUUCAGGCUGCCGACAAAGCAAAUGUUCCUCCUCAAGAUCACCACAGACUGAGUGCAGUCAAGAACACAACAGUGCCAGUGUUCCCGGCAAUCUCAUCAACUGAGGUGGCGCAGCAGUUAGAGUGCAGUACUGCAGGCCACUUUAGCUGACUGUGUUCAGCAGGUCAGCGGUUCAAAUCUCACCGGCUCAAGGUUGACUCAGCCUUCCAUCCUUCCGAGAAAAAGAUCGGUCAACAUUUCUGUUUUGUGACAGACGGCCUAGUAAACUACAACAAUGGAGACAAUAGCCCACAAAACAUAGCAAUUCAUACUGUAGGAAUAACAGUUUUCUUCCAUUUUUUAAAGACAGAUUUGGUCCUUCCAUCAAGGAGUGCUCCAGGAAUGAGAAGAAAUGGCUGGAUCCAGCUCACAAUAAGAGAUACCAAUCCUCCUCAUGACUAAGUAGCAUUUGAUGGACAGCAACUUUUUGAAACUGGAUCCUUUGCAAAGUUCAGACCUAUCAUCCUUAACUAGAAUUUCCUUUGCCCAGAUAUGGUGAAUACUGCAAUAUGUGGAAAUAGCAGACUUUUGACAACCAUUUCAUAUUUUAUUGAUCUAGUUGCAUUCACAGUGUUGAUACCACUUAGUGUCCUGGGAUGAAAUAAGCUGAAUGUUACAUACAAGAACGCACCUGGUAGAAUCCAGAUGGUGCAGAUAACUUUCUAAUUAACUGCAUUAAUGGCUAGGCCCCCCCCCUUAAGUUACUUUUUAAGUCUUCUUUACUCCACCUUCAAACAACUGCUUUUCUUUUCAGCAAUUGUGCCCCAAAUCAGUUUGCUCAUCAAGACUUCAGCCAUUAAGGCAUGAUUUUAUGAGUCUUGCUUAGGGCUAUUUUGCUGGUUUUCCUAACUCAGUCUUACAAUUAAGAGCAUAUAAAUGACAUGUGGAAUGGAACAGCAACAUUCCAACACCCCAUUGUGAAAUUGUGUUCUUCAGUCUCUUAUCAGACCAUCUUAUUAAUUUAAUAGAGUUGCAGACAGGGCUUUGGAUGUGAAAGCAGAAACAUGCAGGGAAAAUCUGGGACACAUCUACAGCUUCUUAAAGCAGCCACUUAUUUUCCUACCGUAGAUCACAUAGUUGUUAAUCCCAGAAAAAAGGAAUGAACUGUCGACUGUAGCUAUCACCACAUUUACAUAUUCCCCUGGGCCGAAGCAUAACUCUACUAGACAUCACUAUACUUUAAUUCAGUUCAUCAGACUAGACAAAUAUGUCUGCUCUUUUGUAGGAAAACAUUAUGAAUAUAUAUCAUUCACCUCAGCAGGAUUCAACAUCUUUUGACAACUGCAUGAUAGGCAGAAAUUAGUUAGAUGCAGGUUUACUUCAUUUUUUUCCCUAGAAAACAUUAGAUUUCCAGGAUUAAGAUUAAAAAGCAGCCUGAAUGUUACUAUAUUUUUACUUUAUUCUGUAUCUUACAAGAUGAAAACUGUCUUCACCUGUCAGAAGUUUUUAAUUUAGGAAAACUGUAUUUCUGCUAUUAGACAUAAAAUAGAAUUAUAGAAUUUUUCCCACUUUCUUUUACAUAUAUUUUUCAACUGCCUGGAGCUGUACCUGAAGAUAUUUGUUUCAAUAAAACUAAGAGAAAAAAAGGCAUGAAUCAAGAAAUGGUAAUUUCUGUUUAAUGUUUGACAAGACCAUCUGAUACUCUUUGCUUAGCAAUGUACCAGUAUAUGUUCAUUUGGAGUAAAUAUUAAAGAUUGUUCUAAUGUGCAUAUGUAUAAGACUUUAAUAAAAAAUGCAACCUAAUAGUAGGGAAGUAUAAGCAUUUUUAUAAUUCUUGUCCUCCCUUCCACCAGACACCUAUAAUUACACUUGAGCAUGUAAGUUAAAUGGAUUAAUAAUAUGAAUUAUUAGCUGAUUUACAUGAGAGUUACAGCUAUGCUCUAAAUCAAGCAUGUCAAACUGCCGGCCUACAGGCCGGAUGCGUCAUGCCAAAACUGUUCCCACCUCAUUGCCAGCAAGGGGGGAAAAGUCGUGAUAUGUUGCGCGACAUCACAUGAUGUCGCGAGUUGACAUGCCUGUUCUAAAUUGAGUGAAGAAUAGAAUUUCAGAUUAAUUCAGUUGCACCAAGAUCAACUGAUCUGUGCUGAAUCCACACCUUGCUAAGCUAAAAGGAGACAGAUAAUUUAUUUUCUUUGGAAUUCCUGUUGGAUUAAAUGACUGAGUCCACACAGCAUUCUAAGCUUUAUUUAACCAUAUUGAAAAAACCACAGGGGUUAAAGUUAGCAGGAUAUGUUAGACUAAAACCAAAUAUAGCCCACCAAUGGCUUUGUGUAAUAUGUGCUUUAUGGGUUUGUGUCAGACGCAUAGCGACCAAUGUAAAGGGCAGCUCAGUUCAGCUGCAUAGAAUACUGACUGUGAACACUGCUACUGUUGAAGAAACUCUUCCAACGCAUAGUCAUCCCAGCCAUAUUUUGUUCAGGGUCAAUAAAUCCAGAUCAAAUUAAUAAAAUCCUGUACCACAAAGAUUUCUAACUAAAAUAAGACACUUAAGGUAUAUUCUAAAACUUGAGCUGGACUUCAGCCUACCCCCAGAAAGCUCCUAUUUGCUGUUCUUAAAAUGGGAAUGAAUUACUCAUCUUUCUAGAUGAGCUAAGCAUUGAAUGGUGCAGUACACUGCAGAGAGAGCCAAUUCAGUACUUCAGCUUACAUAAUGAGACAAUGACUAACUACCGUCUAAUCAUGCUAAUAUUGGGCAUUGUGAGGUAACUUAUUCAUUUUUUUAAAAGAGCCCCCCCCCAAUUGAAAAACUAUAUACAGGAAUGGCAUUUCAAAGCCAGCUAUUGGUAUUUCAUAAAUUCAGAAGUGCAGGCUUCAUUCUCCUUAUUUGACACAGUAGAUGGUGUGUUUUUGAGAAAAGC